RNAcentral lists this long non-coding RNA (312 nucleotides) under Mus spicilegus (steppe mouse). RNAcentral describes it as "lncRNA (ENSMSIG00000026826.1)". Lineage: Eukaryota; Metazoa; Chordata; Mammalia; Rodentia; Muridae. The record is from RNAcentral.
GUCAAGUUGAAGGAACGACAGAGUGAAACCUAACAGAGGUCUGAGCUGGUGGCAGUGCCAACAGCAUGACCGAGAACCUCCAGCUGCAUCAGAGGUCAGAAAAGCCCCUUGGUUGGCACAGGUGACCAAGGGUGACCGUGUGAUCUACACACUCACAAGAGAAGAUACACCAUUGCUGCUUUUGAAUAAUGGUAAAGGAAGAAUGAAAGUCGCUCACAUCUUAAGAACUUAAAUUGAAACCUGCUUCAGGGAAUGACUGGUGUUGUAAAACAGAAGCCAGUAGAAAUGAUGUGUCACAGAUUCCAAGGUACG